Molecule: transfer RNA, 71 nt
Filed under: Dinophyceae sp. TGD
Lineage: Eukaryota; Dinophyceae
Description: tRNA-Arg
Rfam family: tRNA
About the family: Transfer RNA (tRNA) molecules are approximately 80 nucleotides in length. Their secondary structure includes four short double-helical elements and three loops (D, anti-codon, and T loops).
Source: RNAcentral
GGGUCUAUAGUCUAAUGGUAUGACAGGAGACUUCUAAUCUUUUCGUACGGGUUCAAAUCCCGUUAGAUCCU